RNAcentral lists this long non-coding RNA (1005 nucleotides) under Anolis carolinensis (green anole). RNAcentral's name for it is "lncRNA (ENSACAG00000045563.1)". The record is from RNAcentral. Lineage: Eukaryota; Metazoa; Chordata; Lepidosauria; Squamata; Anolidae.
AUGGUUUCGUCAGCUUCCUUGCACAGACUGCAUUUUGGGUCAUCAGCUGAUUUUUCGAUCUUGGCCUUAAUUGCAUUUGUUCUGAUGGCUUGCUCCUGGGCUGCAAGGAUCAGGCCUUCUGUCUCCUUCUUCAGGGUCCCAUUCGUGAGCCAGAGCCAGGUCUUCUCCUUGUCAGCUUUUCCUUCAAUUUUGUCAAGGAACUUUCCAUGCAAUGUUUUGUUGUGCCAGCUGUCAGCUCUAGUUUGUAGUGUGGCUUUCUUGUACUGGUUUUUUUGUCUGCUGUGCUUUGAGGAGUUUCUGAUUUUUGACUUCAAUCAAAGCAGGUUCUUCACUUUGCUUUACAUAUUCUGCCAGGGCAUGUUCUUCUUCUUUGACUGCUUGGGCCAUUUUUCCAUGUAAACUAAUCAGAUGUUUGAGCCAAAAUCCAUGAAGUUGAUCACUACCAGGCGAUGUCCAGUUCUUGACUUUUUGCACUCGUUUGCUGAUCAUUUCAGUUGUUAUUUCCAUCUGUUCCAUUUUGUUCUGUGAGAAUUUUCCUUCAAACUCCUUUAUCCACCCAGCGUUUUUGUUGUAGUUCUUAUUAUUUUCCCAAAGCUCUUUCCAGAACUUUGUUGUUGCAGUUUUCUCUGGCUUUAUGGUUACUGUGUCUGUUGUUUGGUUCAGACUCUGGUAGAACCGUCUUUGGUCUGAUUGAAACAGUUGAUUUUGUCUGUACUGGAUGAUUCUGGCUUCAUAUUAUUAUUAUUAUUAUUAUUAUUAUUAUUAUUAUUAUUAUUAUUUAUUACUAGCUUGAGGACCCGGCGAUGCCCGGGUUAUUCGAAGAAGGCAUUGUUUGUUUUGGGAUGUUAGGGAAUAUCACUGAAGUUUGGUCCAGAUCCAUUGUUGUCUGGGGUCGGUGCUGUCUGGAUAAGAGUGAACUACAACUUCCAGAUUCCCAGGGCAGCCACCCCCAAACCCUGUCAGUAUUUGCAGCCCAUGUUGAGUCUGCGUGCCAAAUUUAGUCCA